CCUACGGGAGGCAGCAGUGAGGAAUAUUGGUCAAUGGGCGAGAGCCUGAACCAGCCAAGUCGCGUGAGGGAGUACUGCCCUAUGGGUUGUAAACCUCUUUUGUCGGGGAGCAAAAGCCGGACGUGUCCGGCUGUGAGAGUACCCGAAGAAAAAGCAUCGGCUAACUCCGUGCCAGCAGCCGCGGUACUACGGAGGAUGCGAGCGUUAUCCGGAUUUAUUGGGGUUAAAGGGUGCGCAGGCGGAUUUUUAAGUCAGCGGUCAAAUCGUGGGGCUCAACCCCAUCCAGCCGUUGAAACUGGGGAUCUAGAGUGUGCGAGAGGUAUGCGGAAUGCGUGGUGUAGCGGUGAAAUGCAUAGAUAUCACGCAGAACCCCGAUUGCGAAGGCAGCAUACCGGUGCACAACUGACGCUCAGGCACGAAAGCGUGGGUAUCGAACAGGAUUAGAUACCCCUGUAGUC
Molecule: ribosomal RNA, 458 nt
Filed under: uncultured bacterium
Lineage: Bacteria
Description: partial 16S ribosomal RNA
Rfam family: Bacterial small subunit ribosomal RNA
Source: RNAcentral